GGGUAGUACAGAGGGUUGCCAAGCCGUAAGGUGGAGCUAAUCCCUUAAAGCUACUCUCAGUUCGGAUUGUAGGCUGAAACUCGCCUACAUGAAGCUGGAGUUACUAGUAAUCGCAGAUCAGAAUGCUUCGGUGAAUGCGUUCCCGGGUCUUGUACACACCGCCCGUCACACCACGGGAGUUGGAGACGCCCGAAGCCGAUUAUCUAACCUUUUGGAAGAAGUCGUCGAAGGUGGAAUCAAUAACUGGGGUGAAGUCGUAACAAGGUAGCCGUAUCGGAAGGUGCGGCUGGAUCACCUCCUUUCUAAGGAGA
Molecule: ribosomal RNA, 311 nt
Filed under: Clostridioides difficile
Lineage: Bacteria; Bacillati; Bacillota; Clostridia; Peptostreptococcales; Peptostreptococcaceae
Description: partial 16S ribosomal RNA
Rfam family: Bacterial small subunit ribosomal RNA
Source: RNAcentral